RNAcentral lists this long non-coding RNA (242 nucleotides) under Eucalyptus grandis. Its description in RNAcentral is "long non-coding RNA (EGRA_LNC000809)". The record is from RNAcentral. Lineage: Eukaryota; Viridiplantae; Streptophyta; Magnoliopsida; Myrtales; Myrtaceae.
GAAGAAGAAGAGAGAGAAGAGUCGUUUUUGUUCUUUUGUUCUUCCGAGAAGUGUUUCUUUUCUGGAGAAACAACUUUUUUUUGUUUCUUUUUUCUGUUCCUAUUUCGUUCCAGAAACAAAAAAACAAAAAAGGAACAAAAACGCAACCAAACGCGUUUCUGUUCCUUUUUUGUUCCCGAGCACACUUUCCGUACAAAAGUGUGCCGGAAACGUUUCUUAGAAACGUUUCCAUGCACGCCCUU